UACGUAGGGGCGAGCGUUGUCCGGAAUUAUUGGGCGUAAAGGGUUCGUAGGCGGUAAUACAUGUCAGAUGUGAAAUCUUGUGGCUUAACCACAUCAAGCAUCUGAAACUGUAUAACUUGAGUGGAGGAGAGGUAAGUGGAAUUCCUAGUGUAGCGGUGAAAUGCGCAGAUAUCAGGAGGAACACCGAUGGCGAAGGCAGGUCUCUGGGCCACUACUGACGCUGAGAAGCGAAAGCAUGGGGAGCGAACAGGAUUA
RNAcentral lists this ribosomal RNA (255 nucleotides) under uncultured prokaryote. Its description in RNAcentral is "partial 16S ribosomal RNA". It matches the Rfam family "Bacterial small subunit ribosomal RNA", at positions 524 to 780 of the family's 1533-position model. The record is from RNAcentral.